Molecule: ribosomal RNA, 253 nt
Filed under: uncultured bacterium
Lineage: Bacteria
Description: partial 16S ribosomal RNA
Rfam family: Bacterial small subunit ribosomal RNA
Source: RNAcentral
UACGUAGGGGGCUAGCGUUGUCCGGAUUUAUUGGGCGUAAAGGGCGCGUAGGCGGCUUUUCAAGUGACGGGUGAAAUCCCUCGGCUUAACCGAGGAACUGCCUGUCAGACUGGAAGGCUUGAGACCGGGAGAGGUGAGUGGAAUUCCCAGUGUAGCGGUGAAAUGCGUAGAUAUUGGGAGGAACACCAGUGGCGAAGGCGGCUCACUGGACCGGAACUGACGCUGAGGCGCGAAAGCGUGGGGAGCAAACAGG